CCUACGGGCGGCAGCAGUGAGGAAUAUUGGUCAAUGGACGAGAGUCUGAACCAGCCAAGUAGCGUGAAGGAUGACUGCCCUAUGGGUUGUAAACUUCUUUUAUAUGGGAAUAAAACAGGGUAUGCAUACCCUCUUGUAUGUACCAUAUGAAUAAGGAUCGGCUAACUCCGUGCCAGCAGCCGCGGUAAUACGGAGGAUCCGAGCGUUAUCCGGAUUUAUUGGGUUUAAAGGGAGCGUAGGUGGAUGGUUAAGUCAGUUGUGAAAGUUUGCGGCUCAACCGUAAAAUUGCAGUUGAAACUGGCAGUCUUGAGUACAGUAGAGGUGGGCGGAAUUCGUGGUGUAGCGGUGAAAGGCUUAGAUAUCACGAAGAACUCCGAUUGCGAAGGCAGCUCACUGGACUGCAACUGACACUGAUGCUCGAAAGUGUGGGUAUCAAACAGGAUUAGAUACCCUUGUAGUC
Molecule: ribosomal RNA, 460 nt
Filed under: uncultured bacterium
Lineage: Bacteria
Description: partial 16S ribosomal RNA
Rfam family: Bacterial small subunit ribosomal RNA
Source: RNAcentral